This 253-nucleotide ribosomal RNA is filed under the name uncultured bacterium. RNAcentral describes it as "partial 16S ribosomal RNA". It matches the Rfam family "Bacterial small subunit ribosomal RNA", at positions 524 to 776 of the family's 1533-position model. The record is from RNAcentral.
GACGUAGGAGGUUAGCGUUAUCCGGAUUUAUUGGGCGUAAAGCGCGUGCAGGCGGUCUGGUAAGUUGGAUGUGAAAGCUCCUGGCUUAACUGGGAGAGGUCGUUCAAUACUGUCAGACUAGAGAAUGGGAGAGGGAGGUGGAAUUCCGGGUGUAGUGGUGAAAUGCGUAGAUAUCCGGAGGAACACCAGUGGCGAAAGCGGCCUCCUGGACCACUUCUGACGCUAAGACGCGAAAGCUAGGGUAGCAAACGGG